UACGUAGGGUGCGAGCGUUAAUCGGAAUUACUGGGCGUAAAGCGUGCGCAGGCGGUUCGUUGUGUCGGUGGUGAAAUCCCCGGGCUUAACCUGGGAAUGGCCAUGGAAACUGGCGAACUGGAGUGCGGCAGAGGGGGGUGGAAUUCCGCGUGUAGCAGUGAAAUGCGCAGAUAUCAGGAGGAACACCGAUGGCGAAGGCAGGUCUCUGGGCCAUAACUGACGCUGAGAAGCGAAAGCAUGGGGAGCGAACAGG
RNAcentral lists this ribosomal RNA (253 nucleotides) under uncultured bacterium. RNAcentral describes it as "partial 16S ribosomal RNA". It matches the Rfam family "Bacterial small subunit ribosomal RNA", at positions 524 to 776 of the family's 1533-position model. The record is from RNAcentral.